AAAUUGAAGAGUUUGAUCAUGGCUCAGAUUGAACGCUGGCGGCAGGCCUAACACAUGCAAGUCGAACGGUAACAGGAAGAAGCUUGCUUCUUUGCUGACGAGUGGCGGACGGGUGAGUAAUGUCUGGGAAACUGCCUGAUGGAGGGGGAUAACUACUGGAAACGGUAGCUAAUACCGCAUAACGUCGCAAGACCAAAGAGGGGGACCUUCGGACCUCUUG
This 220-nucleotide ribosomal RNA is filed under the name Escherichia coli. RNAcentral describes it as "partial 16S ribosomal RNA". It matches the Rfam family "Bacterial small subunit ribosomal RNA", at positions 1 to 217 of the family's 1533-position model. The record is from RNAcentral. Lineage: Bacteria; Pseudomonadati; Pseudomonadota; Gammaproteobacteria; Enterobacterales; Enterobacteriaceae.